This 491-nucleotide ribosomal RNA is filed under the name uncultured bacterium. Its description in RNAcentral is "partial 16S ribosomal RNA". It matches the Rfam family "Bacterial small subunit ribosomal RNA", at positions 29 to 506 of the family's 1533-position model. The record is from RNAcentral.
AGUGAACGCUGGCGGUAGGCCUAACACAUGCAAGUCGAACGGCAGCACAGUAAGAGCUUGCUCUUACGGGUGGCGAGUGGCGGACGGGUGAGGAAUACAUCGGAAUCUACUUUUUCGUGGGGGAUAACGUAGGGAAACUUACGCUAAUACCGCAUACGACCUACGGGUGAAAGCAGGGGAUCUUCGGACCUUGCGCGAUUGAAUGAGCCGAUGUCGGAUUAGCUAGUUGGCGGGGUAAAGGCCCACCAAGGCGACGAUCCGUAGCUGGUCUGAGAGGAUGAUCAGCCACACUGGAACUGAGACACGGUCCAGACUCCUACGGGAGGCAGCAGUGGGGAAUAUUGGACAAUGGGCGCAAGCCUGAUCCAGCCAGACCGCGUGGGUGAAGAAGGCCUUCGGGUUGUAAAGCCCUUUUGUUGGGAAAGAAAAGCAGCAGGUUAAUACCCCGCUGUUCUGACGGUACCCAAAGAAUAAACACCGGCUAACUUCGU